RNAcentral lists this unclassified non-coding RNA (346 nucleotides) under soil metagenome. Its description in RNAcentral is "partial contains 5.8S ribosomal RNA, internal transcribed spacer 2, and large subunit ribosomal RNA". The stretch from base 1 to 120 matches the Rfam family "5.8S ribosomal RNA", at positions 35 to 154 of the family's 154-position model. The record is from RNAcentral.
GAUGAAGAACGCAGCGAAAUGCGAUACGUAAUGUGAAUUGCAGAAUUCAGUGAAUCAUCGAGUCUUUGAACGCACAUUGCGCCCCCUGGUAUUCCGGGGGGCAUGCCUGUCCGAGCGUCAUUGCUGCCCUCAAGCCCGGCUUGUGUGUUGGGUCUCGUCCCCCUUCCCGGGGGGACGGGCCCGAAAGGCAGCGGCGGCACCGCGUCCGGUCCUCGAGCGUAUGGGGCUUUGUCACCCGCUCUGUAGGCCCGGCCGGCGCUUGCCGAUCAACCAAAACUUUUUUCCAGGUUGACCUUGGAUCAGGUAGGGAUACCCGCUGAAAUUAAGCAUAUCAAUAAGCGGAGGA